RNAcentral lists this ribosomal RNA (445 nucleotides) under uncultured bacterium. RNAcentral describes it as "partial 16S ribosomal RNA". It matches the Rfam family "Bacterial small subunit ribosomal RNA", at positions 354 to 796 of the family's 1533-position model. The record is from RNAcentral.
GUGAGGAAUAUUGGUCAAUGGACGAGAGUCUGAACCAGCCAAGUCGCGUGAAGGAAGACGGUUCUAUGAAUUGUAAACUUCUUUUGUGCAGGAAUAAAGUGGGUUACGUGUAACCUUUUGUAUGUACUGUACGAAUAAGGAUCGGCUAACUCCGUGCCAGCAGCCGCGGUAAUACGGAGGAUCCGAGCGUUAUCCGGAUUUAUUGGGUUUAAAGGGUGCGUAGGUGGAUUGAUAAGUCAGCGGUGAAAGUUUGCAGCUUAACUGUAGAAUUGCCGUUGAAACUGUCGGUCUUGAGUGCAAAUGAGGUAGGCGGAAUGUGUUGUGUAGCGGGGAAAUGCUUAGAUAUAACACAGAACUCCGAUUGCGAAGGCAGCUUACUGGGAUGCAACUGACACUGAUGCACGAAAGCGUGGGUAUCAAACAGGAUUAGAAACCCUGGUAGUCC